Long non-coding RNA from Bombyx mori (domestic silkworm), 496 nucleotides. RefSeq lists it as uncharacterized. Lineage: Eukaryota; Metazoa; Arthropoda; Insecta; Lepidoptera; Bombycidae. The record is from RefSeq and is a predicted model, not a curated record. The transcript is spliced from 2 exons.
CAUCCAUCAAGUGCACCGCCUCACGGAGCACAUCUUAUUAGGGCUGAAUAGGCGGAAACACAUCCCGACAGUUGCCCUCUUCUUCGAUAUAGCGAAGGCGUUCGACAAAGUCUGGCACAACCUUCGAUCAACAAUAGUAACUAGAUUUCGGGUCGGUGCAUAAAAUCCGUCUCGUCAAAUAACAGCGCACUUGAAAUGUUAGUUCACUUCAAACACAGCCAAUGUCAACCCGUCUCACAAUACCGCAGUGUGUAUUAAAAAGUUGCAAAAUAAGGCCCGAAAAAGCAAUUUAACGGCCGGAAUAUCUUACUUUCGCUUUCCUAGCAAUCACGUGUGCAGAAUGGAUCUCGAUUGUCGCCAGAGAAACAAGAGAUGACUUUUGAGCCAGCUAAGAUCUCCACUUAUUGACACUGGACAUCUUUGCCUUUCGUGCUCACGGCUACUGAAACGUGGCCGAAACAUUGUAAUAAAAAUACCACGCUUGAAACCGUUUAAA